GGCAUUAUUUAUGGGAAGAGCCAGCAAAAAAGAAAAGCAACCAUCUUCUGAAUAAGAAGAACAACAUGAUAGCGAAGAAGAGUAUGAUGAAGAGGACUAGGAUGGUAUCCUAGCUGCUCAUCCAGAGGAUGAUUUCGAUGAAGCCUAGCGCAAUGCAGCCCUACUUGAAUAGAUUAAAGCAGUAGCCGCACAAGUAGAUUAAGGAGAAGAAUUGACCUGGAACGCUAUCUACGCCCUUAAGAAGGAAGAAGGUGAGUUAAGCGCCUCAAUGGAAAAAUAAAUCCAACUCAUAAAGGAUAAAUAUGAGUUGUUGAAACAGCCCAUCUUUGAGCAGAUUUCUAAGGCUGCUCUUGGAAUCAAAAUAGAUAGUAAGCACUAUCGACCUGAAGGAUUACCUUGCCGUGGAAAUCCAGAUAAGACCCCACCCAAAGCUAUUCCUGACUUUUGGGGUGUUGUAUUCGAAAAGGAAGGAUUAAUUAGUAGUGAAGUUGAUGUUGAGUGUUUCUCUAAGGUGAAGGAACUUACCUGUACUUUACUGAAGCCUGAAACUAAUCACAUUCGAGUGGUUUUCAAAUUCAAUUCGGCCACUCAAUAUUUCUCCAACUUAUAGCUCCAAGUUGAGACCCAUUUGGACACUGAGAACAACGUUCCAGUUAGAGAAAUUAAGUAAGAUAUAAAAUACAAAAAAGAAAGGCAAGAAGCUUCCCUUUUCACAAUGUUGUUCGAUCCCAAGACUUAAGUUCAUGAGACUUAUAGUUUUGUCAGUGAAUUUUACCAAGACUACAGUAAUGCCUUGUAUUUCUACUUUAAAGAUGAUGAGGAAUAGGAUGAUGUUGCUGAAGGAUAAUAGGAAGAAGGUGAGGGUGAAGAGGAAUAAGAUGAAGAAAGUGAAGAAGUUCAAGCUGUUCAAAAACCAAAGAAAAAGAAGAAAGAAGAGAAGCAGGCUAGUAAGGAAAAGAAAGAAAUCGAAAAGCCUGAAUGUAAACAACAAUGAUCUUGAAUAUAUAUAUCUU
This 1013-nucleotide small RNA is filed under the name Hordeum vulgare subsp. vulgare (domesticated barley). Lineage: Eukaryota; Viridiplantae; Streptophyta; Magnoliopsida; Poales; Poaceae. The record is from RNAcentral.